RNAcentral lists this transfer RNA (88 nucleotides) under Burkholderia stabilis. RNAcentral's name for it is "tRNA-Gly(gcc)". Lineage: Bacteria; Pseudomonadati; Pseudomonadota; Betaproteobacteria; Burkholderiales; Burkholderiaceae. The record is from RNAcentral.
CGGUGCGGGCGGCGGUGCCGCUCCCGCUUGCCGUGCGGGGCCUGCCGCGCCGACGAGGGCAGGCACGAUCGCGCCGGGUUGCGCCGAC